AACGAACGCUGGCGGCAUGCCUAACACAUGCAAGUCGAACGAGACCUUCGGGUCUAGUGGCGCACGGGUGCGUCACGCGUGGGAACCUGCCCUUAGGUUCGGAAUAACUCCCCGAAAGGGGUGCUAAUACCGGAUAAUGUCUUCGGACCAAAGAUUUAUCGCCUUUGGAUGGGCCCGCGUUGGAUUAGCUUGUUGGUAGGGUAAAAGCCUACCACGGCGACGAUCCAUAGCUGGUCUGAGAGGAUGAUCAGCCACACUGGGACUGAGACACGGCCCAGACUCCUACGGGAGGCAGCAGUGGGGAAUAUUGGACAAUGGGCGAAAGCCUGAUCCAGCAAUGCCGCGUGAGUGAUGAAGGCCUUAGGGUUGUAAAGCUCUUUUACCCGGGAUGAUAAUGACAGUACCGGGAGAAUAAGCUCCGGCUAACUCCGUG
RNAcentral lists this ribosomal RNA (433 nucleotides) under uncultured bacterium. RNAcentral's name for it is "partial 16S ribosomal RNA". It matches the Rfam family "Bacterial small subunit ribosomal RNA", at positions 29 to 507 of the family's 1533-position model. The record is from RNAcentral.